Molecule: ribosomal RNA, 401 nt
Filed under: uncultured bacterium
Lineage: Bacteria
Description: bacterial SSU rRNA
Rfam family: Bacterial small subunit ribosomal RNA
Source: RNAcentral
GGGGAAUCUUGCACAAUGGGGGCAACCCUGAUGCAGCGACGCCGCGUGAGCGAUGAAGCCCUUCGGGGCGUAAAGCUCUUUCGACCGGAACGAUAAUGACGGUACCGGGAGAAGAAGCUGCGGCUAACUACGUGCCAGCAGCCGCGGUAAUACGUAGGAGGCGAGCGUUAUCCGGAUUUACUGGGCGUAAAGCGCGUGCAGGCGGAUUGGAGAGUUGGAUGUGAAAGCUCCCGGCUUAACUGGGAGAGGUCGUUCAAUACUUCCAGUCUUGAGUGCAGUAGAGGGAAGUGGAAUUCCGGGUGUAGUGGUGAAAUGCGUAGAUAUCCGGAGGAACACCAGUGGCGAAAGCGGCUUCCUGGACUGUAACUGACGCUCAGACGCGAAAGCUAGGGUAGCAAACG